RNAcentral lists this ribosomal RNA (162 nucleotides) under uncultured fungus. Its description in RNAcentral is "5.8S ribosomal RNA". It matches the Rfam family "5.8S ribosomal RNA". From Rfam's summary of the family: 5.8S ribosomal RNA (5.8S rRNA) is a component of the large subunit of the eukaryotic ribosome. The record is from RNAcentral. Lineage: Eukaryota; Fungi.
CAACUUUCAACAACGGAUCUCUUGGUUCUGGCAUCGAUGAAGAACGCAGCGAAAUGCUGAUAAGUAGUGUGCAAUUGCAGAAUUCAGUGAAUCAUCGAAUCUUUGGAACGCACAUUGCGCCCCUUGGUAUUCCAUGGGGCAUGCCUGUUCGAGCGUGCAUUU